ACAACGAAGCCGACAGCAGCAAUAAAAUCCAUACAAUAACAAUGUUGAGCAAUUAUUUGAGCAAUCAGUUUAGAUAGAAAGAAUGUUUUAUGAUUAAAUUGAAUUGCAGCCUUGUGCAGAUUUUAAGCGAGGGAUAGAACAAAUUAUUUAGAUUUUCAACGGUAUUUGGAAAAAACAAAUUCUUACUUUUCAAGGAAAUUGUCUAUAUCAAUAACUUAGACUUGUAAAGGUUGACUGGAUGUAUGCAUUUUUCACAAAAAAACAAACUCCACAGUCAUAAAACUGAGCUAAAAGCAGCCAUUUCUCAGUUGUGACAAAGCUUUUAAUAUAGAGAUGCACCAAUCAAACGGCCAGAGAUCAGAAUCAGACAAUGUUCCCAUCAUCGGCUCUUAGGUGAAUCGUUUUUUAUUCAUUAAAUACAUUAAACCUAAGAACUCCCAUCAUUUCUGGCCAACAAAUGCACCAACCAACAGCAUGGUCAUGCAACUUUCUGCUAUAAAAAAAUAUUCUAAUAAUCUGAUCUAUGUCUAAAUGGAAGAAAUCAUUUAAUUUCUUCAUUUUCUGUUGGAUUCAAAACCUCCUCCUCUACCAAUGAACCUGCAGCACAUUUUAACCUCUGAAGACCUGAGGAUUUUGGUCCAAACAGGCUUUCAGACACCUUAAGGGCUAAAAAAACAACAACUUCUCUUCAAAUCUAAAUGUUUGAUCAGUUGUAAACCUCAUUUACAACUUCCAGAUCUGUCAGGAGAAAGAAAAAUAUACCAUGUUUGAAGAGAAACUGAUCCUUUUUAGGCAAUGAAAAACCUAUAUUUAGAAUAACAUUUCCAGGUUUUAACAGAUUAACGUGUUGAGCUUGUAAAAAAAAAGGUUCUGAAUUGGAAACAGCAGGUCUAACCUCAAAGAAUAAAAGAACAUGAUCAUAUAAUAUGUUGAUGUUUACCAAUAAACCAAGAUUUCUAUUCCCAUUGCCACAAGUGAGUAACUUAAUUAACAUUAACUGCAAACUAACAACUUCUUAACUACAGAAGAGACCAGAAAAAAGAGCCUCACUGACUUCCAUAUGGCGUCCACUCCUCUCUAUUUCAAAUCAUUGAGUCUCUACAGGCUUUAAAUAUUGAAAAUAAUCAGAUUAAAGUCCAUGAAAAUAUCACAAAGUUCUGUUUAGCAUUUAAGAUGCGGCUCAAAGAAGCCGCACAACCCUUCCUGAGUGUCAUUGUGCAUUGUGGGAAAAUGACCAAAAA
Fundulus heteroclitus (mummichog) is the source of this 1241-nucleotide long non-coding RNA. RefSeq lists it as uncharacterized. NCBI's taxonomy places the organism in Eukaryota, Metazoa, Chordata, Actinopteri, Cyprinodontiformes, Fundulidae. The transcript is spliced from 3 exons. The record is from RefSeq and is a predicted model, not a curated record.